GCCGGGGUGGUGAAACUGGUAGACGCGCCGGAUUCAAAAUCCGGUUCCUUCGGGAGUGUCGGUUCGAUUCCGACCCUCGGUACCA
This 85-nucleotide transfer RNA is filed under the name Methylomonas sp. RNAcentral's name for it is "tRNA-Leu". It matches the Rfam family "tRNA". From Rfam's summary of the family: Transfer RNA (tRNA) molecules are approximately 80 nucleotides in length. Their secondary structure includes four short double-helical elements and three loops (D, anti-codon, and T loops). RNAcentral also lists the same sequence under 23 other names. The record is from RNAcentral. Lineage: Bacteria; Pseudomonadati; Pseudomonadota; Gammaproteobacteria; Methylococcales; Methylococcaceae.